This 191-nucleotide small RNA is filed under the name Carlito syrichta (Philippine tarsier). Its description in RNAcentral is "7SK RNA (ENSTSYG00000024468.2)". It matches the Rfam family "7SK RNA". From Rfam's summary of the family: 7SK was discovered as an abundant small nuclear RNA in the mid-70s but a possible function has only recently been suggested. The record is from Rfam by way of RNAcentral. Lineage: Eukaryota; Metazoa; Chordata; Mammalia; Primates; Tarsiidae.
GCCACUGAGCUCGGCCUAUGCAUCCCUCCUAAAACUGCAUGCUCAAAGAGGAUGGGCUAUUCUUUGGUCAAGGGUAUACAAGUAGCUAUGCUCCCCUGCUAGAACUUUCAAACAAGUGCUCAAGGUCCACAGUGCUGAGAUUAUACACGUGAGCCACAGCGCUCGGUCAUAUGUAUAUAUUUUAAUUUUAU